UUCUUUUCUUUUUUUUUCUCCCCUUUAGCAGACAUUAAAUAACCAGUGCGAUAGUGCAGGCUGCAGACCCAGGCUGGUUGUAUAACGGGCUUCACCUCAGCUGAACUUGACGCAUCUGGUUCAUCGGCGGCGCAGGACGCACGGCGCAGUCUGUAGCCUGUCUGUCCCCACUGAACCGAGAUGGAUGGCCGGGGAAGAGAGGGAGGAAUUCAAGUCUUUGAUGGCCCGGUAGCCGCUAUCGGAUACCGUGUCCCAUAUAUCCAAAUGAAGGCUUCCCCUCCUCGUCGCCUACAAAUAUUGUCGCCUCUAUUUAUUUUUUGUCCAGACGCAUCAGAAGGCGAACCGCGGUGUAGGAAAUAAAGCCCGUGGACAUGGAGUUGACACCCGGGGGGAAGAGACGGUCUCCAACUUGAACUUGAGCCCUGUGAUCGAGUGUGCUUGAAUGGGAAUCUCGGACAGCCACAGCAAGAACUGCACAUUCACCAGGGCGACUGAGGAAACCAGCAGAGGUGGAACCACGAGGCCUCGGCCACUGCAUUGCAGAGAGGAGAGGAUAUGUGGACAUACAGUGUGGAGCUACUGAUGGAUCCAGCACAGCCGACCGCGGAGAUUUCUACUCUUUACCCUGAUAGCUGAUGGCUGCGUCCACCACUGGCCUCAAGUCGUAGUGGGUCGAGCCAACCUGAGAGAAGACGAGGCGGCCGGUGACGCAGACGAGGUAACUUGUCAAGCACGCAGGAAGUCCUUUGACAGCGCUCGUUGAUUUACACUUGCACAAUGGCGGCAUGUAGUAAUCUUUUUUUUUCUUCUUCUUUUUAAAUCACACUCAAUUUCCUUUGCUUUUUUUUAUUUAUGUCACAUUCACAUCACAUAGGAUUUUCCAUGAAUUUGAACUCCAAACUGGAAAAAAAAAAAAAAAAAAAAAAAUUCAACCUCCUAGUUGGUAAUUACAAGCAGAAUAUAUGGGGGGGAAAAAGGUUUUUGUGGGCUCCGAUAUCUCCCACUUGUCAUGGAUUUCGCAAGUGUGGCAACACAUGCGGUAAACACAGGAGGGAAUCCGCCGAUGCUAGCAGUCAAAAGUCCUAAAAAUCAAAAUUAUCUGCUAUUUUUCUGCCAAUCCUGUCGAAUCUGCGUACGAAAAGCGAGACAAGCUCCUGCUGGGGGUCGAGUUUAAAUUCCUAAUUACACAUGAGGUUGGGUGAGCCCAGAUAAGAUCAAAAAAUGGGCUUUAUUGUCUGCCGUCAUGGAAAUUUGUUUUGUGACAACACACUGACGAAAUUUCAUACAUUCACACACACACACACACACACACACACACACACACACACGCGCGCGAAUAAAAGUGUAGUAAGAAGACCGCUCCCACACCACUGCGUUUCCAAGGAACAGGAGAAUUUGGAUAAAACUAUAUUGUACAUACAUAUAUAAUAUAUAUUUUUUAAAAUGUGUUUAUUUUGUUUUUUGUGGUGGAGUUAGGCUGAUUUGGAUGGAGGAGGAGAAAAUUCUGUUUCAGAGGCUGAGAUACUGACCACUACUUCACUUUCCACAUUAUUCAAACAGGGCUUCCAUAUGCAUCAUAAAUCCUUGAAAGUAAAGAAAAAA
Myripristis murdjan (pinecone soldierfish) is the source of this 1602-nucleotide long non-coding RNA. RefSeq lists it as uncharacterized. NCBI's taxonomy places the organism in Eukaryota, Metazoa, Chordata, Actinopteri, Holocentriformes, Holocentridae. The transcript has 5 exons. The record is from RefSeq and is a predicted model, not a curated record.